GAAGUUUUACAUUAUCUAAUUUUAAAUAAUACUUAGAAUUCAUAGAUUCAUAGAAUUAGGACCAAAAAGAAUAUGUAAAAAUUAAACGCUGUGAACGAUACCCAAGAAUCAUUUAUCUGUGCUUCCUUUAGUGUGAUUCUGCUCGCUGCUUGGAAUGGUCUUUUGGUUGUCCCUCUGUCCUCUUCCCCUGAUAACAGAAUUCUAGUUCUAUUCUGGUAUCCACCUCUUCCACAGUGCCUUUGGUUGGUGAGACUCUGAUAGAUUUUACAUAAUUUACUGCACUCUCCUGUUUCCCUUUCCUGUAAUUGGUUUAGGCAAAGGCAUGUUAUAUAAGUGUAACUAAUGAGACAUGAGAGAGAGUCUGCCUUAAGACUGCAGAGAAUCAUUUGCUCAACAAUGGAAAAGGCCUUCCUUCAUGCUCGUGGACACCAUCACAAGGGAUAUAUUCUGCACAUAUGUCCCUUGUCAAAGGAAGCAGUUAAAAAUACCCCAUCCUGUAUCCUUACUGGGACCCCCGUGCCUGCACUGACACCUGUGGACUUUACCUAGACCAUCUCUUCCGGCAUUGUAGGUGGGAAGUUAUGAGAGUGGAUGGCAGAUAUAGAAGAACUGGAAAAUGAAAUGCUGAUUCUGAAUUUGGUGCACUGCCUCUGUGAUUGUACACCUUUUCUAUUGUGUUCUGCCAAUGUGGAGAGCUACAUUGAACAGUUAAUAUAAAAAUGUAACCUCGUGCUUUUGGAAUAAACCCAACCUUAUCAUAAAGGA
Peromyscus californicus insignis is the source of this 765-nucleotide long non-coding RNA. RefSeq lists it as uncharacterized. The record is from RefSeq and is a predicted model, not a curated record. NCBI's taxonomy places the organism in Eukaryota, Metazoa, Chordata, Mammalia, Rodentia, Cricetidae. The transcript has 4 exons.